This is a long non-coding RNA of Daphnia pulex (common water flea), 559 nucleotides long. RefSeq lists it as uncharacterized. NCBI's taxonomy places the organism in Eukaryota, Metazoa, Arthropoda, Branchiopoda, Diplostraca, Daphniidae. The transcript has 3 exons. The record is from RefSeq and is a predicted model, not a curated record.
GUCCAUGUUGGAAAAGAGACUCCAUGGCGGUUUCCGGCUGCCGGCUGGGUGUUACGACUUACCACUCGCCAUGCUCUCCACACCAUGCUGUUUGCAGAUAAUGAGGCCUGAGCCAGCUAUCGUAACAACACAGCAUGCCAGUUCUGGCUCAUGCUGGUAUCACAAUUUCAGUGUCAGCGUUUGGACUAUAACAGCAUCCUGUUCCACUGGAGAAUAAACUGUUCGAUGUCGGUCGAGUUCUUCCCCUUUGUUAUCAAGAAUGUCCUGUGGGUGUAUUCACGAGGACCCCCCUUUUGCAGAUCCUGCCUGGUGGAUUCAACUUUAUACUGGGAAUGGAGUGUUGACUGCAGAUGCCUAGCUGUAUUUCCCAGGCUUAAUUAAAGGUAGGACAAAUCUAUCUGUAAUCUUCCUAUCUGAACUGUUUGGUGUUGUAGUGCGAUUAAUCCUGAGCUAGGCACUUGACUUGAACUUCUCUUGCCACUUUUUACUAAGCAACUGACAUUCACUAUAAUCGAAUCGACCAGACUCUAAUUAAAUCAUUUAAAUAUCGAGUUAAAGA